Molecule: long non-coding RNA, 2102 nt
Filed under: Homo sapiens (human)
Lineage: Eukaryota; Metazoa; Chordata; Mammalia; Primates; Hominidae
Description: long independently transcribed non-coding RNA 2135 (LINC02135)
Source: RNAcentral
GCAGCCUCUCCCACGUGCACCUGCGAGGCCUACCCUUUCUCCCGUCUCAGGGCCUUGAUGCCCGUGCCUGUGAAGCUGGCAUCAGCGAAGACCUCAGACGGGAAGGGAUGAGUGAGCAGGAGUAUGAGUACGUGAGUUUCGAAUGGAAGCACUGUUAUGCCAGCAUCAAACACCCUGCAUUGACAGAAAUGUGAUUCCGGCAAGGUAAUAACUGCCACUCCCUGGGACUGUUUGACAUGACUCCAGGACCACAGGGAGUGCAUGAGGAAGCUGGCAGUCCACCUGCCACCCACUGUGAACCCAGACAGAGAGGCCAUCUGACCCACACAGCAAUUCUGGGGGACUGGGACCUGCGAGCAAGGUUCGAUUCCCAGCCCAUCCGUCCCUGUCUCUCUGACACACGGUCACCACGUGCAUUCUGCUGCCAGGCCCCGGAGCUGAAUCCUGUGAAAUCCUUGCUCCAGGGGCCACACAAUGUAACCGGGAGGCAGGAAUAUGACAGGAAAAGUUAACCCACAGGAUGGGAGGUCCCAGGCUGUGUGCACAGUGACAGGAGUGAUCACAAGAGUGCAUGGGGACUCACCCUGGCCAGAGACAGAGAGGCAUAUAGGAAGGUUCCCCAGGGGAGCCGAGACUCUGUCCAGACCUCAAAGAAUUCGGAGAGGAGAGUGAGAGUGAGCCCGUAUCUGGGAUAACUGAAAAAAAAAAAUGACUAGCUUAAAAAAAAAUCUCCAUGUGUGACACCUUACGUCACUAAAGCAAAGUGUGGAUUUGAGUUACUAGGUACUAACGAGAAUUUUGGAAAAUGGACACAGCCCUGCGUUUAAAGGAAUUGUCUUUUCUUGCUGGCUGAUACACUUGUAAACACACACACACACACACACCCCACCUGGCAUCUCCAUAUAACAUCCCAGGGUGCCGUUAGCCUUUCUGCCUCCUCCCUCAUCCCAUGUCUCCUAGAACUGCCAUGAAGCUGACGUGCAGCAUGUGCUCGCUGCUGGGCAUAGGUGGCCAGCCCAUGGCUCCUUCCUGUACCCGUUGCUGGCAGGUCCCGUGCCCCGGGGCAGCUCCUGCCACCAGUCCUCUCCUCUGCCCUCCCUCGCAUCUACUCCUUACGUGCAUCUGUCAAGGGGCGCUGAGCAGGUGUGUCUGUGCUUCACUCAGGUCUCGUUAGUGGUUGUCAGUAAGCUCUGAAUUCUUCCAUAGAACCCUUAAAUCCUUCCUCAAUCCCCACAGCCCACGAGCAAGCCUCCUAAAUCCAAUCAAUUAACACAGCCCAGAAAGUGGAUCCAUUUGCAGGAAAGCUAUAAGCUUGCACCUAAUCGUCCUUCCCUAGGGGACCGGUUAGAGCAACUGUAGGACGGCAGGAAGGAGCCCUCUAUGGACCUGAAAACAUCAAGGAGAACGGUACAUGUUGAUUGGAAAUAUGUCCGUGACAUAUAUUGCUAAGUUUAAAAAACUUAGGCUCCAAAGCAGCAGAUGAGUAUGAUUGCAGUAGCUUUUGAAACGGUCGUGUUGGGUGAGUGUUUAUACAGAGAUGUCUGGGGCAGGAGAGAGAGGCCUGGGGGCCACCAAAUAUUCCCAGCAGUUGCUGACAGUGAGACACCAGGAGGGUUCAAUUUUAAAAACUGUCUUCUUUAUUUAAAAAACAUUUUUUUUCAGUGGUUGAAUUUUUGACAUGGGUAUGCAUUGUCUUCAUAAGAAGGAAAAGGAAAAAAAAAAAAAAAAAAGAAAACCAGCUAGGUGAUUUAUAAGCUUCCAUGGAGCAUUUUUGGUAAAUGAGAAGUGCUGGGUUUUCCAGGUAAAUGGAAUAUGCAAACCAUGGGUGCCGGGGCUGGGAGGAAGUGACAAGAGGGGACACUGCUUAGUUGCGUAGGGUUUCCUUUUGGGGUGAUGAAAUGUUAGGGAACUAGAGAGGGCUGAUGCGCGUUGUGAUUGCACCGAACGUUCUGCAUUUACUAAAUGCCCCCGAAUUGGACACUUGGAGACGGUUAAUUUCCUGUUAUGUGAAUUUUACCUCAAUAAAAAGUGCCAGAUUCUCUAGUAAAACAAGUCACCUAAAAAAAAAAAAAAAAAAAAAAAAAAAAAAAAAAAAAAAAAAA